This 253-nucleotide ribosomal RNA is filed under the name uncultured bacterium. RNAcentral's name for it is "partial 16S ribosomal RNA". It matches the Rfam family "Bacterial small subunit ribosomal RNA", at positions 524 to 776 of the family's 1533-position model. The record is from RNAcentral.
GACGGAAGGUGCAAGCGUUGCUCGGAAUCACUGGGCGUAAAGGGCGCGUAGGCGGCCUUGUAAGUCCUGUGUGAAAUCCCCCGGCUCAACUGGGGAACUGCACAGGAGACUGCUUGGCUUGAGUUCGGGAGAGGGAAGCGGAAUUCCGGGUGUAGCGGUGAAAUGCGUAGAUAUCCGGAGGAACACCGGUGGCGAAGGCGGCUUCCUGGACCGACACUGACGCUGAGGCGCGAAAGCCAGGGGAGCAAACGGG